AUUAAUUCAGCAAAACUGAUGGUCGUCCUCCUUUUUCCCUCCUCUCAGCUUUUCUUGAUUAUGCAAAAUCGAUAGUCUUCCUCCUUUUGCUAUCCUCUCGGCUUUUCUUGAUUACACCAUUUUGGCAUUGGCAUUUGUUAAACUAUGCCGGAUGAUUUAAUUUCUUUCUCCAUUCAUAAAAAGCAACUAUUCUGUGGUUUCUGCUCGUUCUUCUGCAAGAUUUGUAUGUAGUGUGCUAGCGUAAUGCCGGCACAAGUAACUACUGUGGACAAUGUAUGUGGAGAUAGGACAAUGUAGCUAUAAUGGAUGGAAGAUUUAAGCUUUUCGAAAGGUGACGUUUAGGUGAUGGAUCGUUGCAGCAAUUGGCAUAAAAUGGAGUUUACUACUCUCAUAAUUAGUAUAUCUCACAUAAAGAUUCAAAUACAUCACCUUCUUAUUUCAGAGAAAAGGAAAAAUAGCUUCCCUCUAUUUACAGGUUUUUGGUACGAAAGGAGGUCAGAAUGCUAAUUUUGGUUGCAUUUGCACUAUUGGAUUUUGUUAUAGGAUUUUCCAUAGUUAAUAAAGGGCUAGCUGUAAUACCUUUCCUUAAAAGGAUCAAAUGCAUAUUUUGGAUAGAUGAAGGAAGCGACCAAAAGAAAUGAAGACCAAAAAUAAUGCACAAAUCAGCGGAUUUUGCAAGCUUAUAGAGUAACUAAAGCACUGAGUCUUUAUGAAGAUAUGCAAGCUAGAUGUUUGAAUACCGAUGAAAUCACCUUUAAAUUGAUUAUUGUCACACCCCUAUUUUUAACUGCAUCCAACCCCACCAGGGAGUUGGUGUUGGAGAAAAUGAGUUUUUCCAAUUCAAGUGACGUUUUGAAAAGGAAUUAUUUAUUUUACAGAGUCGCCACUUGGAAUUGAGUUUGGGUGUUCAAAGUCACUUCAUUGAAUCCCUCUUCAAAAAAAUGACUCUUAAUUUUUGGUCUGCGAACUAGAAAUUCGGAUAAGAAAUUUUGUUGACCGAGGGAAAGGUGUUAGGCACCCCUCGAGUCCCAUGGUUCUAGCACGAUCGCUUUAAUGACUUAUGUCUGGCUUAAAUUAAUCUUUUAGAUAUAUAAUGUUUGUUAGCCUAAAAGUGACUUCUAUCCUGCUUCUAUUUAUUUUAGAAUAUAUUUAAAACUGUAUUGAUGUGUGGCUUACCGAUAGUAGUACUUUUCAUCCUUUCUACGAGUUUUGGUAUAUUUCUUGCGCCUUUGUGGCAUUUAUGAAUCGUCCCAUUUUUCAA
Molecule: long non-coding RNA, 1261 nt
Organism: Capsicum annuum
Lineage: Eukaryota; Viridiplantae; Streptophyta; Magnoliopsida; Solanales; Solanaceae
Exons: 4
Source: RefSeq, a predicted model, not a curated record